Zingiber officinale is the source of this 188-nucleotide long non-coding RNA. RefSeq lists it as uncharacterized. The record is from RefSeq and is a predicted model, not a curated record. NCBI's taxonomy places the organism in Eukaryota, Viridiplantae, Streptophyta, Magnoliopsida, Zingiberales, Zingiberaceae. The transcript is spliced from 3 exons.
UCGACGAGGUGGAGGCGCUCACUGAGGAGAUCGAAGAGGAGGGCCAAACACUCGAAGAAGUCCGGUGGAUCAAGGAGCUCCUCUCCCACCAUCAGGAUGAGUCCGAUAACAUCUUGUUCGAGUCACUGAGGAGGCUUCAGCUAAUGGAACUCACCGUUGAUGUCCUCAAGGCGACCGAGAUUGGAAGC